RNAcentral lists this long non-coding RNA (489 nucleotides) under Rhinopithecus bieti (black snub-nosed monkey). Its description in RNAcentral is "lncRNA (ENSRBIG00000046554.1)". The record is from RNAcentral. Lineage: Eukaryota; Metazoa; Chordata; Mammalia; Primates; Cercopithecidae.
AUAAAAAAGGACUGCUUAGGAGGGACAUCCUUCCACUGCCUCAUCCAUGGAUCAGGGAGGCAAGCCAAGGAGCAAUCCAGUUCUGCCCAGCAAGCUACACCCCACUAACUCUGGGCCUUGUGUAUGCUAUUUAACAUUUCAUUCAAACAGGAGCUCCUGGGAAGAAGCUUGGCUCAGUCUCCUCGGCAGAUCUCUUCUCACAGUCUCUCUCAGGGCCUGGGAUAGCUCCAUUGGGUGUCUCAUCUACAUAGAAGACUUUGAGCCUGUUGAGAAGUUGAAGAACAAGUAUAUAGAGAAGAGACACCAACUCUGGAGUCUCCAGGCCUGUAGGCUCGGGCUUGAAAUAUAGAACUCAGAACUCAAACAGUAAAGUUUUGAUCAUUCUUCUGGUUUCCAUGUGUGCUCUCAAUGCACUAAAGCUGAGAUCGGCAAACUUUUUGUGUGUGUUUUUGAGAUGAUUCUCACUCUGUCACCAAGGCUAGAGGGCAG